Cylindrospermum stagnale PCC 7417 is the source of this 282-nucleotide non-coding RNA. It matches the Rfam family "HNH endonuclease-associated RNA and ORF (HEARO) RNA". The record is from Rfam. NCBI's taxonomy places the organism in Bacteria, Bacillati, Cyanobacteriota, Cyanophyceae, Nostocales, Nostocaceae.
GUCAACAACCCACCACCAACCCUUUGGGCACAGUGGGGGCAAACGACUGCCCUAGUUGACCCGACUAAGUACCGUGCGUACUACGUUUAAGGCAAGAGUUCAAGACCUACCCUGGAAUGCGUAGCCAGUUCCAGGCACUAGAACUGGGGGAUUAAACAGGCUUAGAGGGUUAAGCUGGUGUCUUCUGGAUAGUGAGAUAGUUCGUUUCUGUCGCCUCGCGUCGGAAUCUUCUAUCGAACCCGCAAGGGUACCGACCUUAAACAUUGUCCAGGCUAACAUUAC